GCACCCGUAGCUCAGUUGGUAGAGCAUCUGACUCUUAAUCAGGGUGUCCAGGGUUCGAGCCCCUGCGGAUGUA
This 73-nucleotide transfer RNA is filed under the name Prevotella sp. RNAcentral describes it as "tRNA-Lys". It matches the Rfam family "tRNA". From Rfam's summary of the family: Transfer RNA (tRNA) molecules are approximately 80 nucleotides in length. Their secondary structure includes four short double-helical elements and three loops (D, anti-codon, and T loops). The record is from RNAcentral. Lineage: Bacteria; Pseudomonadati; Bacteroidota; Bacteroidia; Bacteroidales; Prevotellaceae.